RNAcentral lists this ribosomal RNA (407 nucleotides) under Rhodotorula mucilaginosa. RNAcentral's name for it is "partial large subunit ribosomal RNA". It matches the Rfam family "Eukaryotic large subunit ribosomal RNA", at positions 177 to 580 of the family's 3401-position model. The record is from RNAcentral. Lineage: Eukaryota; Fungi; Basidiomycota; Microbotryomycetes; Sporidiobolales; Sporidiobolaceae.
GCACACAAGUCUGUUGGAAUACAGCGGCAUAGUGGUGAGACCCCCGUAUAUGGUGCGGACGCCCAGCGCUUUGUGAUACAUUUUCGAAGAGUCGAGUUGUUUGGGAAUGCAGCUCAAAUUGGGUGGUAAAUUCCAUCUAAAGCUAAAUAUUGGCGAGAGACCGAUAGCGAACAAGUACCGUGAGGGAAAGAUGAAAAGCACUUUGGAAAGAGAGUUAACAGUACGUGAAAUUGUUGGAAGGGAAACGCUUGAAGUCAGACUUGCUUGCCGAGCAAUCGGUUUGCAGGCCAGCAUCAGUUUUCCGGGAUGGAUAAUGGUAGAGAGAAGGUAGCAGUUUCGGCUGUGUUAUAGCUCUCUGCUGGAUACAUCUUGGGGGACUGAGGAACGCAGUGUGCCUUUUGGCGGGG